This 230-nucleotide long non-coding RNA is filed under the name Elaeis guineensis (African oil palm). RNAcentral's name for it is "long non-coding RNA (EGUI_LNC013210)". Lineage: Eukaryota; Viridiplantae; Streptophyta; Magnoliopsida; Arecales; Arecaceae. The record is from RNAcentral.
ACAGCAUGCCACGACAAGAAUCAAUUUAGGUGGCACAAGCAUCAUAUUCUCCAACGUAACAUCAGCCAUAAAAAUGAGAAAUAUGAAAAGGGUAUUCCAACCACCUGCGGUCCAUAAGCUCAGCAGCAAUAAUAAUAAUUAAUACGGUCUGUUAGCUAGAAUGGUGCAGUUUGUGCUGUGGCUACUAAAGGUGGCUGCAUGAUGGAGAAUAAAACUUCAAGGAUUCAAAG